AAAACAACUAGCCGGAGAAGAAGGCCCUGGAUUGCUGUUGCUGGAGUGUUUACGGAAACAUGAUCUUCUCCCAUGUGACCAUUGGUGCUGCCACCGCCGCUGUGCCAGUUGGAGGUGCUGCUGCUGCAUCUGGUGGAGCUGCAGCUGCCGCCCCAAAGGGCAAACCUUCAUCAGACACAACCCCAUAACAGGGCCUCAAGAUGCUGGCAUUUCAUUCAGGACAAAUAAGUUGGAUGAAGCAUAGUUUUACCUCAUCGAGCU
Triticum dicoccoides is the source of this 261-nucleotide long non-coding RNA. RefSeq lists it as uncharacterized. Lineage: Eukaryota; Viridiplantae; Streptophyta; Magnoliopsida; Poales; Poaceae. The record is from RefSeq and is a predicted model, not a curated record. The transcript is spliced from 3 exons.